GAUGAACGCUGGCGGCGUGCCUAAUACAUGCAAGUCGAGCGAACGGACGAGAAGCUUGCUUUUCUGAUGUUAUCGGCGGACGGGUGAGUAACACGUGGAUAACCUACCUAUAAGACUGGGAUAACUUCGGGAAACCGGAGCUAAUACCGGAUAAUAUUUUGAACCGCAUUGUUCAAAAGUGAAAGACGGUCUUGCUGUCACUUAUAGAUGGAUCCGCGCUGCAUUAGCUAGUUGGUAAGGUAACGGCUUACCAAGGCAACGAUGCAUAGCCGACCUGAGAGGGUGGUCGGCCACACUGGAACUGAGACACGGUCCAGACUACUACGGGAGGCAGCAGUAGGGAAUCUUCCGCAAUGGGCGAAAGCCUGACGGAGCAACGCCGCGUGAGUGAUGAAGGUCUUCGGAUCGUAAAACUCUGUUAUUAGGGAAGAACAUAUGUGUAAGUAACUGUGCACAUCUUGACGGUACCUAAUCAGAAAGCCACGGCUAACUACGUG
RNAcentral lists this ribosomal RNA (497 nucleotides) under uncultured bacterium. RNAcentral's name for it is "partial 16S ribosomal RNA". It matches the Rfam family "Bacterial small subunit ribosomal RNA", at positions 28 to 507 of the family's 1533-position model. The record is from RNAcentral.